UUUCAUAGUAUUGAGAUAGGUGCCCGACAAGGGCUUAAUAGGGAAGUCCGGUGUAAUGCCGGCGCGGUCCCGCCACUGUAGUAGAGAGCGAAUCCGAAAUAUGCCACUGAGACAAGCUGUCUUGGGAAGGUUUGGAGGAGCGAUGAUCUAGAGCCAGGAGAACUGCCUAUCUAACAAUCACCGU
This 184-nucleotide non-coding RNA is filed under the name Sporomusa sphaeroides. RNAcentral also lists the same sequence under 1 other name. The record is from RNAcentral. Lineage: Bacteria; Bacillati; Bacillota; Negativicutes; Selenomonadales; Sporomusaceae.